UAUAUUGAAUGGCAUCAUUCGAUAUUGAAAACUCCGGUGGAUAGAGAUGGGCACGCGCAAGAUUAGAUAGUUGGUGAGGUAACGGCUCACCAAGUCUGCGAUCUUUAGGGGGCCUGAGAGGGUGAUCCCCCACACUGGUACUGAGACACGGACCAGACUCCUACGGGAGGCAGCAGUGAGGAAUAUUGGACAAUGGGUGAGAGCCUGAUCCAGCCAUCCCGCGUGAAGGACGACGGCCCUAUGGGUUGUAAACUUCUUUUGUAUAGGGAUAAACCUAGAUACGUGUAUCUAGCUGAAGGUACUAUACGAAUAAGCACCGGCUAACUCCGUGCCAGCAGCCGCGGUAAUACGGAGGGUGCAAGCGUUAUCCGGAUUUAUUGGGUUUAAAGGGUCCGUAGGCGGAUCUGUAAGUCAGUGGUGAAAUCUCACAGCUUAACUGUGAAACUGCCAUUGAUACUGCAGGUCUUGAGUGUUGUUGAAGUAGCUGGAAUAAGUAGUGUAGCGGUGAAAUGCAUAGAUAUUACUUAGAACACCAAUUGCGAAGGCAGGUUACUAAGCAACAACUGACGCUGAUGGNACGAAAGCGUNGGGGAGCGAACARGGAUUAGAUACCCUKGGUAGUCCACGCNCGUAAACGAUGCUAACUCGUUUUUGGGAUUUAAGGGUUUCAGAGAGUAAGCGAAAGUGAUAAGUUAGCCACCUGGGGAGUACGUUUCGCAAGAAUGAAACUCAAANGGAAUUGACGGGGGCCCGCACAAGCGGUGGAUUAUGUGGUUUAAUUCGAUGAUACGCGAGGAACCUUACCAAGGCUUAAAUGGGAAAUGACAGGUUUAGAAAUAGACUUUUCUUCGGACAUUUUUCAAGGUGCUGCAUGGUUGUCGUCAGCUCGUGCCGUGAGGUGUUAGGUUAAGUCCUGCAACGAGCGCAACCCCUGUCACUAGUUGCCAUCAUUAAGUUGGGGACUCUAGUGAGACUGCCUACGCAAGUAGAGAGGAAGGUGGGGAUGACGUCAAAUCAUCACGGCCCUUACGCCUUGGGCCACACACGUAAUACAAUGGCCAGUACAGAGGGCAGCUACACAGCGAUGUGAUGCAAAUCUCGAAAGCUGGUCUCAGUUCGGAUUGGAGUCUGCAA
RNAcentral lists this ribosomal RNA (1134 nucleotides) under Chryseobacterium sp. MYb481. RNAcentral's name for it is "bacterial SSU rRNA". Lineage: Bacteria; Pseudomonadati; Bacteroidota; Flavobacteriia; Flavobacteriales; Weeksellaceae. The record is from RNAcentral.